GGGCCGUCUUCUUCCCCCCGAGCUGGGCGUGCGCGGCCGCAAUGAACUGGGAGCUGCUGCUGUGGCUGCUGGUGCUGUGCGCGCUGCUCCUGCUCUUGGUGCAGCUGCUGCGCUUCCUGAGGGCUGACGGCGACCUGACGCUACUAUGGGCCGAGUGGCAGGGACGACGCCCAGAAUGGGAGCUGACUGAUAUGGUGGUGUGGGUGACUGGAGCCUCAAGUGGAAUUGGUGAGGAGCUGGCUUACCAGUUGUCUAAACUAGGAGUUUCUCUUGUGCUGUCAGCCAGAAGAGUGCAUGAGCUGGAAAGGGUGAAAAGAAGAUGCCUAGAGAAUGGCAAUUUAAAAGAAAAAGAUAUACUUGUUUUGCCCCUUGACCUGACCGACACUGGUUCCCAUGAAGCGGCUACCAAAGCUGUUCUCCAGGAGUUUGGUAGAAUCGACAUUCUGGUCAACAAUGGUGGAAUGUCCCAGCGUUCUCUGUGCAUGGAUACCAGCUUGGAUGUCUACAGAAAGCUAAUAGAGCUUAACUACUUAGGGACGGUGUCCUUGACAAAAUGUGUGCUGCCUCACAUGAUCGAGAGGAAGCAAGGAAAGAUUGUUACUGUGAAUAGCAUCCUGGGUAUCAUAUCUGUACCUCUUUCCAUUGGAUACUGUGCUAGCAAGCAUGCUCUCCGGGUAAGGCUGCUCAAACUCAACUCUGAUAGAACUGACUUAAAUGUGUAUAUGGGGGAUAUGGCCAUCACUGUGUGAGGUCCUUGGAACUGGAAGUGAUGUGGGGAGACAGAGAGACCCAAGGAGACUUUUGGUAGAGGACACCCCCAGUAGAUGCUAAAAAAGACUUGAUCCACACAUGCCUCUAACUUGUUGAACAAAUAAAUAUGUAUCAAGCACUGCAUUGUGCCAUGUACUACAACAGACCCUGGGG
Molecule: small RNA, 924 nt
Filed under: Pan troglodytes (chimpanzee)
Lineage: Eukaryota; Metazoa; Chordata; Mammalia; Primates; Hominidae
Description: retained intron
Source: RNAcentral